GAGGUGGAUCUUGGCUCAGAUUGAACGCUGGCGGCAGGCUUAACACAUGCAAGUCGAGCGGGCGAUGUUGCUUCGGUAACUGAGCUAGCGACGGACGGGGUGAGUAAAGCUUAAGAAUCUGCCUAUUAGUGGGGGACAACAUUUCGAAAGGGAUGCUAAUACCGCAUACGUCCUACGGGAGAAAGCAGGGGACCUUCGGGGCCUUGCGCUAAUAGAUGAGCCUAAGUCGGAUUAGCUAGUUGGUGGGGUAAAGGCCUACCAAGGCGACGAUCUGUAGCGGGUCUGAGAGGAUGAUCCGCCACACUGGGACUGAGACACGGCCCAGACUCCUACGGGAGGCAGCAGUGGGGAAUAUUGGACAAUGGGGGGAACCCUGAUCCAGCCAUGCCGCGUGUGUGAAGAAGGCCUUUUGGUUGUAAAGCACUUUAAGCGAGGAGGAGGCUCUCUUGGUUAAUACCUGAGAAGAGUGGACGUUACUCGCAGAAUAAGCACCGGCUAACUCUGUGCCAGCAGCCGCGGUAAUACAGAGGGUGCGAGCGUUAAUCGGAUUUACUGGGCGUAAAGCGCGCGUAGGUGGUUAAUUAAGUCAAAUGUGAAAUCCCCGAGCUUAACUUGGGAAUUGCAUUCGAUACUGGUUAACUAGAGUAUGGGAGAGGAUGGUAGAAUUCCAGGUGUAGCGGUGAAAUGCGUAGAGAUCUGGAGGAAUACCGAUGGCGAAGGCAGCCAUCUGGCCUAAUACUGACACUGAGGUGCGAAAGCAUGGGGAGCAAACAGGA
Molecule: ribosomal RNA, 776 nt
Filed under: uncultured bacterium
Lineage: Bacteria
Description: bacterial SSU rRNA
Rfam family: Bacterial small subunit ribosomal RNA
Source: RNAcentral